UAGGGAAUCUUGCGCAAUGGACGAAAGUCUGACGCAGCAACGCCGCGUGUAGGAUGAAGCCUCUAGGGGUGUAAACUACUGUCAGCAGGGAAGAAAUUGACUGUACCUGCAGAGGAAGCACCGGCUAACUCCGUGCCAGCAGCCGCGGUAAGACGGAGGGUGCAAGCGUUGUCCGGAAUUACUGGGCGUAAAGGGCGCGUAGGCGGCCCUCUAAGUCAGACGUGAAAUCCCCCGGCUUAACCUGGGAACUGCGUCUGAUACUGGAGGGCUUGAGUAUGGGAGAGGGAUGUAGAAUUCCAGGUGUAGCGGUGAAAUGCGUAGAUAUCUGGAGGAAUACCGGUGGCGAAGGCGGCAUCCUGGACCAUUACUGACGCUGAGGCGCGAAAGCUAGGGGAGCAAACGGGAUUAGAUACCCAUGUAGUCCCUGAGCGGGCUGGCAAGGCGCAU
This 447-nucleotide ribosomal RNA is filed under the name uncultured bacterium. Its description in RNAcentral is "bacterial SSU rRNA". It matches the Rfam family "Bacterial small subunit ribosomal RNA", at positions 355 to 825 of the family's 1533-position model. The record is from RNAcentral.